RNAcentral lists this ribosomal RNA (597 nucleotides) under uncultured bacterium. Its description in RNAcentral is "bacterial SSU rRNA". It matches the Rfam family "Bacterial small subunit ribosomal RNA", at positions 112 to 704 of the family's 1533-position model. The record is from RNAcentral.
AAUGCUUAGGAAUCUGCCUAUUAGUGGGGGACAACAUUCCGAAAGGAAUGCUAAUACCGCAUACGCCCUACGGGGGAAAGCAGGGGAUCUUCGGACCUUGCGCUAAUAGAUGAGCCUAAGUCAGAUUAGCUAGUUGGUGGGGUAAAGGCCUACCAAGGCGACGAUCUGUAGCGGGUCUGAGAGGAUGAUCCGCCACACUGGGACUGAGACACGGCCCAGACUCCUACGGGAGGCAGCAGAGGGGAAUAUUGGACAAUGGGCGAAAGCCUGAUCCAGCCAUGCCGCGUGUGUGAAGAAGGCCUUUUGGUUGUAAAGCACUUUAAGCGAGGAGGAGGCUACCGAGAUUAAUACUCUUGGAUAGUGGACGUUACUCGCAGAAUAAGCACCGGCUAACUCUGUGCCAGCAGCCGCGGUAAUACAGAGGGUGCGAGCGUUAAUCGGAUUUACUGGGCGUAAAGCGUGCGUAGGCGGCUUUUUAAGUCGGAUGUGAAAUCCCUGAGCUUAACUUAGGAAUUGCAUUCGAUACUGGGAAGCUAGAGUAUGGGAGAGGAUGGUAGAAUUCCAGGUGUAGCGGUGAAAUGCGUAGAGAUCUGGAGG